This 452-nucleotide long non-coding RNA is filed under the name Ananas comosus (pineapple). RNAcentral's name for it is "long non-coding RNA (ACOM_LNC019851)". The record is from RNAcentral. Lineage: Eukaryota; Viridiplantae; Streptophyta; Magnoliopsida; Poales; Bromeliaceae.
GCGGAGCUGGACAGAGGCGUGGUUUGAAUUUCGCGGACGAAAUUCUUUUUAAGAGGUGGAGAAUGUAACAUACCAGAUUUUGGUAUAAAAAUAAAAAUAAAUAAAAAUAGUGUGAGAAACUAUUUUUAUUGGAUUUGUAGAAGUAAAACAUAAGUCAGAAGUGACUUGUGCUGAAAUCGAAAUGAAAACAGAAAAUUUAGAAUUUUCUGUUGGAAACGGGACAAAUAAAUUAGCAGAAAAUGCACAGUCUCAGAAAAUUAUAAAAAUUGGAGGAUAGGUCAGAAAUAUUUUUAUGAGGCUAGAUUUAAAGUUUCAUAUUUUUCUGACACCCGUAGAGUGAGAAAUAAAAUCCGACAGCUAUCUGAUAAAGAUUACAGUUCGGUACAGUUUUCAGUGACCAAACGGGGUCGAAACUGAACCAGCGAUCGUCAGCUUGUUAAGUUAAGUAAAAC